RNAcentral lists this ribosomal RNA (253 nucleotides) under uncultured bacterium. Its description in RNAcentral is "partial 16S ribosomal RNA". It matches the Rfam family "Bacterial small subunit ribosomal RNA", at positions 524 to 776 of the family's 1533-position model. The record is from RNAcentral.
UACGAAGGGUGCAAGCGUUACUCGGAAUUACUGGGCGUAAAGCGUGCGUAGGUGGUUCGUUAAGUCUGAUGUGAAAGCCCUGGGCUCAACCUGGGAAUGGCAUUGGAAAAUGGCGAUCUAGAGUGCGGUAGAGGGUAGUGGAAUUCCCGGUGUAGCAGUGAAAUGCGUAGAGAUCGGGAGGAACAUCUGUGGCGAAGGCGACUGCCUGGACCAGCACUGACACUGAGGCACGAAAGCGUGGGGAGCAAACAGG